This is a long non-coding RNA of Carassius carassius (crucian carp), 949 nucleotides long. RefSeq lists it as uncharacterized. The transcript has 5 exons. NCBI's taxonomy places the organism in Eukaryota, Metazoa, Chordata, Actinopteri, Cypriniformes, Cyprinidae. The record is from RefSeq and is a predicted model, not a curated record.
GUUUUACGAUUGUUUGCACCAUACUCAAAUUCAUGGGGCUGCGUGCCUGAACGUCCCAACACUGCUGGACCUUCAGCAAAAAAAAUCUAAAAGUGUGUCCUACACCCAUCGUUUUUUUGCCUAUCCAAAAGAAAGGAAUGUGAGGUCCCAAGUCCCUCAGUGAAAAACAAAUUAGAGAGGUCAGGGAUAGGAGAAAAGAGGAUAACCUUUCCAGACAAAUACUGCACUCCACAGGAUUUUUCAAACCAUCUUUUUCAGCAUUUCCCCAUCCUGAAAGAGUGUGGCAGUUUCCAGCUCUUGCGAUCCAGAGGAUCAACACGUUCAAAAAAUAUUAGAGACAAUACCCUGUCCAGACGAUGGCUAUUGCCCUGAAUACCUCUUAAGUGAGUCAGUCAUGAUUGGGCAGGCUGUCAUAUAUAUCAGGCCACUCCAGAAAGAUAUAGAUGUGCAGAAUCUUAAGAGUGACCAGCCUGGACACUGGACCACUGACAGAAUGCUUGUACUGCAAUACGAAGUAUAGCCUGUCAGAAAUACAAGACCAUGUUGAUGUUUGUGAAAAAGUGGAAGAUUGAGCCUGAUCUUGAAACAGCUGCCCGGCUGUUUCGAAGACAUAUCUUAAAGAAUGCUGAGGACAAACCAGACCUAGUUGUUACACUAGAUCUACACAGCUGUGAAAAGGAUCGAGAACGGGAAAUGUUAACUUUUUAUAAACGUACAAAUAUUGAUUGGACAAGUCCAUUUACUGUAAAACUGAAAGGAGAUGCUGCAUUAGGGGAUGGAGUAACACGGCACUUUUUCACAUUGGUAAUGGAUAAGCUCCACAAUGGAUUUGAACUGGACAUUGGUAAGUUACAAUUUCCGGAAUUUCCAAAUUUAAAGUUGAAUGUAUCUUGGACAUACCAUUUCUUUGACCUCCACUUUAGUUAGGGUAAUACAAAGGGUAGGCAAA